GAUGAAGAACGCAGCGAAAUGCGAUAAGUAAUGUGAAUUGCAGAAUUCAGUGAAUCAUCGAAUCUUUGAACGCAUCUUGCGCUCCUUGGUAUUCUGAGGAGCAUGCCUGUUUGAGUGUCAUUAAAUUCUCGACUACACUGACUUUGAAUUGGUGUGGCUUGGAUUUGGGGGGAAAAUUGUUGUGGGCUUUUUGUAUAGUCUGCUCCCCUGAAAUUGAUUAGCGGUACCUUUGUGGAACUGUCUACAGGUGUGAUAAUUAUCUACAUCUUAGACAUCUGCUGGAAUGCUGCUUUCUAAACCUUACUUGUAUUGACAAUCUUGACCUCAAAUCAGGUAGGACUACCCGCUGAACUUAAGCAUAUCAAUAAGCGGAGGA
This 376-nucleotide unclassified non-coding RNA is filed under the name soil metagenome. RNAcentral's name for it is "partial contains 5.8S ribosomal RNA, internal transcribed spacer 2, and large subunit ribosomal RNA". The stretch from base 1 to 120 matches the Rfam family "5.8S ribosomal RNA", at positions 35 to 154 of the family's 154-position model. The record is from RNAcentral.